This 253-nucleotide ribosomal RNA is filed under the name uncultured bacterium. Its description in RNAcentral is "partial 16S ribosomal RNA". It matches the Rfam family "Bacterial small subunit ribosomal RNA", at positions 524 to 776 of the family's 1533-position model. The record is from RNAcentral.
UACGUAGGGGGCAAGCGUUGUCCGGAUUUAUUGGGCGUAAAGAGCGUGUAGGCGGUCUGUCGCGUCUGCUGUGAAAACUCGGGGCUUAACCCCGGGCCUGCAGUGGGUACGGGCAGACUAGAGUGCGGUAGGGGAGACUGGAAUUCCUGGUGUAGCGGUGAAAUGCGCAGAUAUCAGGAGGAACACCGGUGGCGAAGGCGGGUCUCUGGGCCGUAACUGACGCUGAGGAGCGAAAGCGUGGGGAGCGAACAGG